This 91-nucleotide transfer RNA is filed under the name Tilletia horrida. RNAcentral describes it as "tRNA-Pro". It matches the Rfam family "tRNA". Rfam says of the family: Transfer RNA (tRNA) molecules are approximately 80 nucleotides in length. Their secondary structure includes four short double-helical elements and three loops (D, anti-codon, and T loops). Lineage: Eukaryota; Fungi; Basidiomycota; Exobasidiomycetes; Tilletiales; Tilletiaceae. The record is from RNAcentral.
GUCUUCUUGGUACAGUGGUAGCAUGCUUUCUUAGGGAUGAUAUCUACGUCUAAGAUGGAAGAGGUCCUGGGUUCAAUUCCCAGAGAAGACC